GAUAAAAUCUUGUAAGAGUUCUCAAUCUGCUCUUCUCUCUAAGUUGUGAAUCUUUUGCAGCAGGGUGGGGUAUCAAAUUUCAGGAGGCAACAAUCCUAUCAUGUCUUGGUCAAAGAACGCAUCCAUUGGUUUAAUUGAAUGGACAUUAUCAAACAAAAUCGCAUAAAUUUACAGAAAUAGAAAUCGAAAAAUUAGAAAGAAAAUAAGCAAUUGUCAUUUGUGUAAACUUUCAAUAUAUCUCUGGUAAUCGAAUUGGGUCGGACUGGGUUUUGACCUAAUUCAUUCAUAGGUCAUUUACUUGGGGUAAUCAUAAAUCCACUAGGAUUAGAAACCCUAUCUGGCCAAAUCCUUAUAAAUAAGAGGUUUGGCCACAACAAAGCAAGGUUUUGGACCUAAUCUCAUUCCCUCGCUAUUCUCCUAUGUUCCUUCCAAUUGAGAGAGCAUGUGUCUCCAAGGAUUUCUAUUGCAAUCUUUGGAUUUGGAAGAUGAAACUUUGUCGACCAAGUCGUUGCAAUCUUUCAUUCAUCACUGUUUAUGCAGAUCAAUGCGUGAUGCAAUUAGAUCCAUUCUACAGCGAGGAAAGCUCCAUUGAGGUACAUCAUAACAACAGCAGCAGCGGCAUUGACAUCGGCAGCGGCUUAUCUUUGCAAAACCCAUGGGAUUCCCGCUGCUUUUCCCAACACCAAACGCGCAUGGUAUUGGUCACGAACUCGGGCGGCCCUGUAUUCUCUCCUCGCGCCCUCCUAUGAGCCGCGCAUGGACCAUGGUAAAAAUUAAGUCCAUAAGACUGAGAAGGAAUUAGCCAUGUGGAUGAUUAUUCAAGUGUCAAAUGAUAAUUGUUUAUUUUCUUGUAAUUAAUGAAUUUUUUGUAUCGCUCAAUGGAAUAUACAAUUUUUAUAAGGAGGUUGGGUUGUAAGUAUUGCCACCAG
Molecule: long non-coding RNA, 929 nt
Organism: Macadamia integrifolia
Lineage: Eukaryota; Viridiplantae; Streptophyta; Magnoliopsida; Proteales; Proteaceae
Exons: 3
Source: RefSeq, a predicted model, not a curated record